GACUCACGCGGGAAUCUUACCGGGUCCGGACACACUGAGGAUUGACAGAUAUAUACCCCGUGAUUUUAUCGCGGGGUUGAAAGAUGCUAGUUCUUUCAUGAUUAUGUGAUAGGUGGUGCAUGGCCGUUCUUAUUUCGUGGAGUGAUCUGUCUGCUUAAUUGCGUAUCAAUAAUAGAGACCUAGUAUACGCGUAGACUCAUGCGGUAGUGACCCCCCUUCCCAGGGCGCGUGUCGCACGUAUGUUAUACGCACAGGUCUCCGAUAGCAACGAACGUGACCGUACUCUAUUGUUGCGGCGACAAUACCUUUCAACGGGUAUUACCGCUGCUUAGCAAGAUUCGUCUUGCAUUAAACUAUAAAGACCGCUGUUUCUUCUUUAAACCAGAGGAAGGAAACGGCACUUACAGGUCUGGGAUGUAAUACAAACU
This 428-nucleotide ribosomal RNA is filed under the name Ammonia sp. genotype T6. Its description in RNAcentral is "SSU rRNA". It matches the Rfam family "Eukaryotic small subunit ribosomal RNA", at positions 1197 to 1480 of the family's 1831-position model. The record is from RNAcentral. Lineage: Eukaryota; Foraminifera; Rotaliida; Rotaliidae.